GGGGCGGGAACAGAAGCGCCCUCCUCGGGCUCUCGGCGUGGCCGUGCUCGCGCUCCCGCCAAAAUCAAGCCCGGGACCUUUGGCGUGGCGAGUUCGCCCGCCUAAACACUGUUGGCCUCAUUCCAAAAACCAGUUUUGUUUUAUUUCUAAAUUAACGUCGGCUCUUUUUUCCCUGGCGACGUCUGGAGAAGGGCAGGAAAAUAGCUUUUAUCAGCGUGUUAUGAUGCCAUCUCUUACCAAUCUGGCUACUGGAAUCCCCGGUAGUAAAGUGAAAUACUCAAGGCUAUCCAGCACAGAGGAUGACUAUAUUGACCUUCAGUUUAAGAAAAGCCCUCCUAAGAUACCUUAUAAGGCCAUUGCACUUGCCACUGUGCUGUUUUUGAUCGGCGCCUUUCUCAUUAUCAUAGGCUCUCUCCUGCUGUCGGGCUACAUCAGCA
Galeopterus variegatus (Sunda flying lemur) is the source of this 437-nucleotide long non-coding RNA. RefSeq lists it as uncharacterized. The transcript has 3 exons. The record is from RefSeq and is a predicted model, not a curated record. Lineage: Eukaryota; Metazoa; Chordata; Mammalia; Dermoptera; Cynocephalidae.